UGCCUACCAUGCAGUCGAACGACCCCUCGGGGUUAGUGGCGCACGGGUGCGUAACUGCGUGGGAAUCUGCCCUUGGGUACGGAACAACAGUUAGAAAUGACUGCUAAUACCGUAUAAUGACUCCGGUCCAAAGAUUUAUCGCCCAAGGAUGAGCCCGCGUCGGAUUAGCUAGUUGGUGAGGUAAAAGCUCACCAAGGCGACGAUCCGUAGCUGGUCUGAGAGGAUGAUCAGCCACACUGGGACUGAGACACGGCCCAGACUCCUACGGGAGGCAGCAGUGGG
This 282-nucleotide ribosomal RNA is filed under the name uncultured Sphingomonadaceae bacterium. RNAcentral describes it as "partial 16S ribosomal RNA". It matches the Rfam family "Bacterial small subunit ribosomal RNA", at positions 54 to 354 of the family's 1533-position model. Lineage: Bacteria; Pseudomonadati; Pseudomonadota; Alphaproteobacteria; Sphingomonadales; Sphingomonadaceae. The record is from RNAcentral.